GCAGGCAGAUCCUCUAUGUAAAAACUGAUCGUUGAGGGGACGAAGACUCGGGUAGCGAAUAAGAUUAGAUACCCUAGUAGUCCGGGCAGACAAUUAUGAAUGUCAUAGAUUAGAAAACAAAGAAGCUAGUUAGGUUUGCUAUGAACAGACAGUAUAAUUUAAGAGUCUUGUUAUUAAAUUAUACAGUCUCUACUGUAACUAGUUUAGAUAUUAAUCCUUAGACUUCCUUAAACGAGAGUCUCCUCAUUUUCCCUUUGACUUCUCAUUAAAGGGGAGAGGCCUCCCGAGAAGCAAAGCAGAUGGGUGUAGAAUGGGAGUUUAAGGAAGGUUUAUUUGCCUCUUGGAUUAUUCAUUCUUUAAAUAAACCUUCGAAGGUUAGUUAUCUUUCUCUAGUUAACCGUACACAAGGAGCUAGAAGUGUAGUAUAUAUCAACUUGUGUAUUAAAAAGGAUACGGGUAAAGGUUUGCUUCUUCACCUUCCUAUUUUUGGUCCAUAAAUGAAAGUGUAAGCAUUCCACCUCAAGAGUAAG
Molecule: ribosomal RNA, 530 nt
Filed under: Lasiodiplodia theobromae
Lineage: Eukaryota; Fungi; Ascomycota; Dothideomycetes; Botryosphaeriales; Botryosphaeriaceae
Description: partial small subunit ribosomal RNA
Source: RNAcentral